This 385-nucleotide ribosomal RNA is filed under the name uncultured bacterium. RNAcentral describes it as "partial 16S ribosomal RNA". It matches the Rfam family "Bacterial small subunit ribosomal RNA", at positions 338 to 732 of the family's 1533-position model. The record is from RNAcentral.
CCUACGGGGGGCAGCAGUGGGGGAUAUUGCACAAUGGGGGGAACCCUGAUGUAGCGACGCCGCGUGGGUGAAGAAGCGCCUCGGCGCGUAAAGCCCUGUCAGCAGGGAAGAAAAUGACGGUGCCUGAAGAAAAAGCACCGGCUAACUACGUGACAGCAGCCGCUGUAAUACGUAGGGAGCAAGGGUGGUACGGAAUUACUGGGCGGAAAGGGCGAGUAGGUGGGCGCUUAAGUCAGGUGUGAAAACUCCGGGCUCAACCUGGAGACUGGGCUUGAAACUGGGUGUCUUGAGGGCAGGAGUUGGAGAGAAGUAGGCGGAAUGCGCGGUGUAGCGGUGAAAUGCUUAGAUAUCGCGCAGAACCCCGAUUGCGAAGGCAGCGUACCGG